RNAcentral lists this ribosomal RNA (497 nucleotides) under uncultured bacterium. Its description in RNAcentral is "partial 16S ribosomal RNA". It matches the Rfam family "Bacterial small subunit ribosomal RNA", at positions 28 to 507 of the family's 1533-position model. The record is from RNAcentral.
GAUGAACGCUGGCGGCGUGCCUAAUACAUGCAAGUCGAGCGAAUAGACGAGGAGCUUGCUCCUCUGACGUUAGCGGCGGACGGGUGAGUAACACGUGGAUAACCUACCUAUAAGACUGGGAUAACUUCGGGAAACCGGAGCUAAUACCGGAUAAUAUAUUGAACCGCAUGGUUCAAUAGUGAAAGACGGUUUUGCUGUCACUUAUAGAUGGAUCCGCGCCGCAUUAGCUAGUUGGUAAGGUAACGGCUUACCAAGGCAACGAUGCGUAGCCGACCUGAGAGGGUGAUCGGCCACACUGGAACUGAGACACGGUCCAGACUCCUACGGGAGGCAGCAGUAGGGAAUCUUCCGCAAUGGGCGAAAGCUUGACGGAGCAACGCCGCGUGAGUGAUGAAGGUCUUCGGAUCGUAAAACUCUGUUAUCAGGGAAGAACAAAUGUGUAAGUAACUAUGCACGUCUUGACGGUACCUAAUCAGAAAGCCACGGCUAACUACGUG